GCUGGCUUAGUAUAUAUUGUAGUACAUGAGAUUGUAAAUCUCAGGGAAAUAUUUUUAGUCAGAA
RNAcentral lists this transfer RNA (64 nucleotides) under Plagiorchis maculosus. RNAcentral describes it as "tRNA-Tyr". Lineage: Eukaryota; Metazoa; Platyhelminthes; Trematoda; Plagiorchiida; Plagiorchiidae. The record is from RNAcentral.